CUCUUGCAUCCCGUGGUCUCCUAUAAGCACAUGGAGCUGAGGAUAUUUGGAAAAAGUCACCGUGACAGAUGCAAGCCUGGAGACACAGAGAAAGUGAGGCCCAGGCUAAAGAACGUCCACAUCUGAGGACUGACUGGUGGUAAGCAUCCUAAUAACGCCCAAGACGCAGAAGCCCGCAUUCAUCUAACUGCCAAGGGCCAGCCUGACGGAGGCAGCAGCCAGGACUCCAAAGGCCUCAGCGCAAGAGCAGUUGAACACGCCCCAGAAGCGGCGCUGCAUCGCUCGGGCCUGGAGGUACGGGUGGAAUCCGGCUUCCGGGGAGGCAGCCUUGCACGCUCUGCCGCUUAGGCCCUGCAGCCCGGGUACCCGCCACCACUUCUCCGUGCGCCAGCCGCCAGGUAUAGAGGUUUUAAGGAGCGGCCGCCUUUGAAAACCCUUUUAUGUCUUCCCAUUCUGGGGAUUCCCUGGGAUUAAAAUCUAAGUCCACCGUGGAGUUCUUGGUGCCUCUCGCCUCUCCUCCAGACCCCUGCAGCGAAUGCAUUCUUUCACCGAACAUUUACUGGGUGCCUAACAGUUGCCAGACAGGGUUCCAGGCGAGGCGUCGCAUCCAGAGCAAAAGCAAGAUUCCUGGAAAUGGAAUUGCCAGAUCAACAUAUUUGCUCAUUUCUGAGGACAACACAAACAGAUGGAAACGUAUAUGUGUUAAUGGAUUGGAAGAAUUAAUAUUGUUAAAAUGACCAUACUACCCAAGAUAAUCUACAGAUUCAAUGCAGUCCCUAUCAAAAUAUCAAGGGAAUUUUUCACAGAACUAGAACAAAUAAUUUCAAUUUUGUAUGGAAACACAAAAGACCCCAGAUAGCCAAAGCAAUCCUGAGAAAGAAUAAUAGAGCGGGAAGAAUCACUCGCCUUGACCUCAGACUACACCAAAAAGCUAUAGUAAUCAAAACGGUAUGGCACAAAACAGACACAUACAGAGACCAAUGGGACAUAAUAGAGAACCCAGAAAUAAUCCCGCACACUUAUGGUCAAUUAAUCUACUAGAAGGCAAGAAUAUUCAAGGGAGAAAAUACUGCCUCUUAAGUAGCGGUGCUGGGAAAACGGAACAAUUACAUGUAAAAGGAUAAAAUUAGAACAUUUUCUCCCACUAUAUACAAAAAUAAACUCGAACUGUACUAAAGAGUAAAUGUAAGA
This 1191-nucleotide long non-coding RNA is filed under the name Sus scrofa (pig). Its description in RNAcentral is "lncRNA (ENSSSCG00070001334.1)". The record is from RNAcentral. Lineage: Eukaryota; Metazoa; Chordata; Mammalia; Artiodactyla; Suidae.